GCCCUCGGGCGGUCCUGGAGCUGCCCCGGGCCCCUUCCUCCUAACUGUUCCCCCGUCCGUCCGCCGACGCAUCCUUCGGCACGGAUCCUCACAGCUCGGCCUCGGGCUGGUGGCAAGAGGCAGCUCCUGGCUGGCGGUACAAAGUAAAUAUCGAUCGAGGCCUGACGCGGCCCCGAAGCCGCGCUUCCACCCGGCUCCCGCCUCCCGAUACCAGCGGGGCUCGGGGAAAUCGAGCAGCUCUUCGCCUUCCCUGCCGGAGGCUCCAGCCCGUGGCUCCAGCCCGUGGUGCGCGACAGGGCCCGCCUUGCUGGAAGCGCAGCUCCCGAGAGCUGGCACGUGCUCGCAGCCGUGUCCGCGUGCUCCAGUAGGGAGGGAUCUGACUGUGCCCCCGGCUGCAGGAUUUCGUUCUCCCAUUGCAAACAUCACCUCGGCUCCGUGCAGGGGACAGCCCAGCCCGCGCUUCCGUACUGCGCACCUCCCUGAGGCACCGCACCGGGCACGGACACCUCCAGCACCAAGUAACCGCAGUCUGGACUUGGUGCAAUCUGCUAAUUAACCCUGGAUGUCUUCAACUUGCUGCGUCUCUGGUUUGCAGGCAGCUGUGCUUCUCUCCAGUUUGUUUGCAGCUCCAGCUUGUGGACUGGAAUUCUCCUAGACUUCUCCAGCUCUAUUUUGGCUCCAGCCGACAGUGCUUCCCCUACCUCCAUGACAAGUUGGUGAGCACGGGAAACCAGUGUAAGACCAUUGGCAUGGUUAAAUGUUUCAGAAAUGUCUUGCCCAAAUGUGUAGCCGGCACCACGUGGAGAUAUACCCCAGCCGCCACGAUCAUCUGGAUCCGACCACAACAGAUCACACAUUGGACCCUUGAAAAAAAGUGAGUGUUCUUUGUUAGUUUUCAUCAUGAUUACAAAAUAGUUAUAAAAAUACAACUUUAAAUAUUUACAGUAAAAAGCCUGCCUGCAUGUUCUUCUCUGCAUAAGCCACAUAUGUUUAUCUAGCAAUAGUUACUCCAGUCAACAUCCAUUCACAAGGAAUGAAUACGCACACAGCUGAGCAGUCUGUACUACCAGAGAACUGUGUGGCCACCUCCAGCACACACUGCUUACCAGCUCGCUUCACCUAGCCAGAGCUGCAAAGAUGUGCAGAACAGAUCCACGUGCUUCUUCCUGACUCUCACAGUAUAAUAAAGGCCACACAGGAAAACAUGUAUGCAAGUCCGAGGAUACACAAAGGGUUCAUCAGUGCCAGCCAACUUGUAAUAAAUUAAUGGAAGGGAAAUUAUCCACAUGAAGCUAUGAACUAAUCAAAAGAUUGAUGGUUAAUCUUCAGCAGUUCUUCUGGCAGGGUAUUAAGCAUGUAAUUUUCUCUGCUGAAUUGUUCUUCAUUGGAUUUUACAUAUUCAGAAAUAUCCUGGUACUUUUAACAAUCACAAGUGAAGCUCAGCAGCUUUUCUCGCUGAGCUAUUAAGAAACUCAGGGGCACUACAAACUGUCUAGUACUUAUCAAAGCCCUCUGCUGUUUCCCAUCCAUUGAUCCAAGCUACGUGGUAGGGAUCACGUACAGACGUUCUUGGGAAACGGAUUCAGCAAUCAGAUGCGGCAUAAGACUGUGAAAACCCCAGAGUAACAAAACAAUAAUUACCAUCUAUCCACAAUCAGAAGCCCCACCAGGCAGCCUCCUUCCUAAUUCUGGAGGCAAUUCCAACAGCUUAUUUCAGGUUUUCAGAAAUCUCAGACAGACCUUGCCACUCUAUUCUUGCUCCUGUACCCAACACGUUUCAGGACAAGCAGUUUGUUUCCAUGGGGGGGAUCAAGACCAUCUGUAAGCCCCAACAAUUCCAACACAGCAGAGCUAUUUGCUAGCCUUGGAGCUCAGAGAGUGGUUUCUUCAGUCCAACUGGCACUCCCCAGCUGCUCCACAUGGGACUCCUGCACAUCAGCAUGUCCUAUAGGCUCCCUCUAACUUUGUCAAGUCCCCCAGAAGAAAGAGGGUAGCAAUGAACACGGUGAAGACACAAAAAGGACUGGCUGAGGUGGAGGGACAGUGACAUGACAGCUUAGUGUGCUGGUGGUUGGUUCACAAGGAAGUGUGCAAUGGGGCACUUUCCCUUGGCAACAUGACUGAGUCAUCAUAACAGUCAAGAAAAUCUGUUGCUGUGAAAAACAGCUGUGAAAACCUCACAGCUGUCCUUUUGCACACUGCUGUAAUCACAGCAUAUUGACUUGGGUGUGUUUUAACCAAAUGAAUUUUCAUUUGCUAUAGCUCUUACUGAGGCAAUAACCUUCUGCAGAACAGCAUGUCUCACUGCGUGAAUGCAUUUCUGCAUGACUAUACAUUUGCAUUUUCA
Lagopus leucura (white-tailed ptarmigan) is the source of this 2347-nucleotide long non-coding RNA. RefSeq lists it as uncharacterized. Lineage: Eukaryota; Metazoa; Chordata; Aves; Galliformes; Phasianidae. The record is from RefSeq and is a predicted model, not a curated record. The transcript has 3 exons.